UAGUUAAAAUUUUAAAGGUAAAUUCUGCCCUAUGAUUAUUUAAAUGGCUGCAGUAUAUUGACUGUGCAAAGGUAGCAUAAUAAUUAGUUUUUUAAUUGGAGACUUGUAUGAAUGAAUUAAUGAGAAGUUUUUUUUAUUAUUUUUAAUUUUAGAAUUUAAUUUUUAAGUUAUAAAGCUUAAUUGUUUUUUUGGGACGAGAAGACCCUAUAGAAUUUGAAUAGUUAAAUUUUAUUACUAUAUUUUAGUUUAUUAUUAUUUUUUAUUUUUUUUUAAUUUUUACUGGGGCGGUAUUCAAAUUUAUCUUUGAUUAGUUAAUUCAUUAAAUUUAUGUUUAAUUGAUCCAUUAUUUUGAUUAUAAGAUUAAAUUACCUUAGGGAUAACAGCAUAAUUUCUAUGGUGAGUUCUUAUUUAUAUAGAAGUUUGUGACCUCGAUGUUGAAUUAAGAUAAGAUUAUGGGGCAG
This 461-nucleotide ribosomal RNA is filed under the name Homoscarta irregularis. RNAcentral's name for it is "partial 16S ribosomal RNA". The record is from RNAcentral. Lineage: Eukaryota; Metazoa; Arthropoda; Insecta; Hemiptera; Cicadellidae.